RNAcentral lists this long non-coding RNA (2999 nucleotides) under Daucus carota (carrot). RNAcentral's name for it is "long non-coding RNA (DCAR_LNC002879)". The record is from RNAcentral. Lineage: Eukaryota; Viridiplantae; Streptophyta; Magnoliopsida; Apiales; Apiaceae.
GUUAAAACUGUCCUUCCUUUUAAAAUUUUCUUUUUUUCUCUUAAGGGGUAGGGGUGUAUUUUUGCACGGUCGAGUCAUUUACCUAACACGCCGGAUCAAACCCAUUUCUUCCGUGUUCAAUUUUUUUGGAAUUUGCAAACUUCGGGGUCUAUCCAUUCCAUCUGGAUUAACUCCAAUUUUUAUUUCUCAUCUGCUGCAAAUUUCACGCGAGAAAAACUCAACCGUCUUAUCAACACUACUGUUGUCAUGUACAUUCGAAAUUUGAACUGAUUUCUAUUACUAGACAAAUUCAAACCGGUUACAUACGCUCUCUCACAGGCGUCUUUGUAGUUUCGUUUUUAUAUUCUGAAUUUGUGAAGCACGAUCUCCUCUGCCGCUCGGCGUCCUAUUGCUCUUUUUUUCCAUUCAUGACCUUGAGUUUCAUAGAGGUUUUUUGUCAUUCCUUUUUGCUUUGAUUCUUAGACCAAUCCAGAUUGCAGCAAGACCCGCCGGCCUCUGCGAGAAUAGGUCGACGAGAUCUGCAGGUUAUAUAUUGGAUUUAAUUUAUUUUGAUAUUUUUUUUAUGAUUUGUCAUGUAUGAUUUCUAAUUUAUGGUUUGUAUAAUUGAGAGGUGUUUAUUACAAGCCUAAACUAAAUUGUUUGUUCUUUGUAUUUUUUGAUCCAUAUAAUACGUUUUUUAAUUCUAACAUGUUACUCUCUUCAAGCUCUAUUUGUGUUUCUGGUUGAUGUUAAAAGAAAUCAAUGAAGAUUUUAUGGUGAAAUCUUAUUUCACCAAAAAAUGGUCAUUUUUUUAACUUACUCAAAAAAUAUCAAAUAUUAAAAUGAUGAAAAAUUAUACACGACCCAUAUAAAAAAAAAUUAUGACACACAAUUUGAAAUAUUAUUCAUAUUUUUUAAUUAGUAUUCGAUAACAUUUUCAUAUAUAAUUAUAUAUUCAAAAUUAGACACUGAUUCUUAAUUAAUAUAAACGUACGUAGACGACAAAUAUGAAAGAAAAUAGUAAAAACGCAAAAUUAUAUUAACUGGAAUAUACUACAGGGGUCAUGUUCUACGUGGAAACAUUAGGCAUAAAACCCUUCGACAUCUUACCUUAUUUUUAGUAUUAGUUUUUUUUUUUUUUAAUAGCGAAAUUAUAUUAUAAAGUUUCGGAGGAUCCUACAAAGACCAAAAGGAGGGCACUGCAUAGCUAAAACUAAAAACCUAUAGAAACUACUGAGAACUAUGCAGCCAAAACCUAGACACCCAGAUCAUAAAGAUUUAAAAAGCUAAUUCUUAGAAACUCCCAAACCAUGGAGAUAAGCGUUCUCAGGCACCNGAAUAGCGAAAUUAUAUUAUAAAGUUUCGGAGGAUCCUACAAAGACCAAAAGGAGGGCACUGCAUAGCUAAAACUAAAAACCUAUAGAAACUACUGAGAACUAUGCAGCCAAAACCUAGACACCCAGAUCAUAAAGAUUUAAAAAGCUAAUUCUUAGAAACUCCCAAACCAUGGAGAUAAGCGUUCUCAGGCACCUGAGCUUGGACCUGGCUUGACUUCACCCCUUGACACUUGACUUGCCUCAAAGCCUCUGAAUCCUAACAAAACUAACACUUCUUCAACCCCCAUCAGAUUAUCAGCAUCAGAAGAAGAGCAGAGCAAAUUGCACAUGAAAAAAAUGUCUUUAGUAUUAGUUAGGGUUCUGUAGCAGAAUUGCACAUGAAAAAAAUGUCUUUAUGUAUCAUAUUUUGAAAUUACUUUUGAACACACACAACGAUGCGAAAAAACAUGUAUUUAGAUUUAGAUCCUGAAAAUCUAUGAAAAAUAUAGGGUUGUGCAGUAGAACCUUAGUAGUUUUAUGGUUAUAUUUUAAAUACUGAUUCUCUCUUGAGCGCGACCCUAUAAAGAUAUUCAAAUUAACUAAAACACAUGACAAAUUUAUCGAGUGCGAAACACAUGCAAUAUCUAAUUUAAGUGUGUGUAUUCGUUAUUAUCAUUUGUCUACUAUUUUGGGUGUUUAAAUAAAAUUGCUAUGGAUGAUAUAAGAGUGUAAAUUAAAUUUUUUGUUUUUCUGAGAGUAUAUAUAAUAUCAAAACAAUAGUAUAUAAAAAAAAAUUUAGUUUACUCCAGUGUUUUUUUUUGUAAUAAUUCUUUUAUAGAUAUCAAAUUCUCUUAUUAUAUAAGUUUAAUUUACCGGACUAUAUAACUAAAAACACAUAAAAUCUUUAAAUUUUAUAUAAUCAUCGACUAAAAUUUUACAUAAUAAUAAUCGAUAAUCGGGAAAAAAUCUAAUAAUAUAAAAAAAAUAUAAAAUGUAGGACGACAUAAACAUGCAAACGUUACUAUUUACGACUAAUGAGAAUUCCAAUUAAAAUAAAAACAACAUGAUAAUGAUAAUGUCUUCUGACAGAAAUAUAUAUAAAUAUAAUUUACUGUGUGCGGAGCACGUGCAAGAUAACUAGUCUAGAAUAAAGAAUGCUUAUAUUGGGCCUGUUUGGUUAGCAGAAGGAGAAACUAGCAAAAUACUACUUUUUCUUUCACGCCUUCUACUUUUUUUUAAAUAUUUUAUUAACUUAUUUACUUCUCACACCGAAACAGCCCCUUUGUUACUGCAACAUUUGCGACUUUUAUUCAUGCUAAAGUAUAAUUACGUUGUCACACUUUUUCUAUUAUUCGUAAUUAUCUUUGUAAUGCUAAAGUACUCCAGUUGUUCUCAUUUUUCUAGACAUAAUUUAAAAUUUUUAUAAAUUAUAAAAUUUUAAGUAAAUUAUAUUUUCAUAAUUUACUUAAAUUUAUUUAUUAAACGAUAUUUUUGUAGGAGUGUGUCAAACCUUCUACUGUCCAACUUCAAGAACACGGGGGCAGGCGAGUAUACCCCACCAGGCAUGUGACGAUUUUGAACCAGGACUCGUGAGAGUUCUUAAUAGUUCGAAAUCAAUUUUAUGAAAAUUAUAUAACUCAAAACAAGACAGAGAUAUUGAUGGAUCUGACUGCAGAAAAUGUUAAUUGUGAUCUCUCAAAUUAG